CACCGGGCUUCUCCUCGACGAACUGUUCUAGUCGAACGGGAAGGUCAGGCUGCGAAUCCAGCAGAUCCAGUAACUUCCUCGCCUUCGCCUCCUUCCUUAACUUCUUCGCGGUCUUCUCAAUUUCAAAAUCGUAGAGGAGGUUCGGCUUGGACGAUCUGCUCAUAAACAAAGAAAAUAAAAAAAAGAAAAAUAGAACAAAAGGAAAAGAAUUAGAUUAACACCGC
This 224-nucleotide long non-coding RNA is filed under the name Salvia miltiorrhiza (redroot sage). RNAcentral describes it as "long non-coding RNA (SMIL_LNC010157)". The record is from RNAcentral. Lineage: Eukaryota; Viridiplantae; Streptophyta; Magnoliopsida; Lamiales; Lamiaceae.